RNAcentral lists this ribosomal RNA (254 nucleotides) under uncultured bacterium. RNAcentral's name for it is "partial 16S ribosomal RNA". It matches the Rfam family "Bacterial small subunit ribosomal RNA", at positions 524 to 777 of the family's 1533-position model. The record is from RNAcentral.
UACGAAGGGGGCUAGCGUUGCUCGGAAUCACUGGGCGUAAAGGGUGCGUAGGCGGGUCUUUAAGUCAGGGGUGAAAUCCUGGAGCUCAACUCCAGAACUGCCUUUGAUACUGAAGAUCUUGAGUCCGGGAGAGGUGAGUGGAACUGCGAGUGUAGAGGUGAAAUUCGUAGAUAUUCGCAAGAACACCAGUGGCGAAGGCGGCUUACUGGUCCGGAACUGACGCUGAGGUGCGAAAGCGUGGGGAGCAAACAGGG